GGAUGGGAGCUUGCUCCCUGAAGUCAGCGGCGGACGGGUGAGUAACACGUGGGCAACCUGCCUGUAAGACUGGGAUAACUUCGGGAAACCGGAGCUAAUACCGGAUAAUGCACAGCCUCUCAUGAGGCUAUGCUGAAAGAUGGUUUCGGCUAUCACUUACAGAUGGGCCCGCGGCGCAUUAGCUAGUUGGUGAGGUAACGGCUCACCAAGGCAACGAUGCGUAGCCGACCUGAGAGGGUGAUCGGCCACACUGGGACUGAGACACGGCCCAGACUCCUACGGGAGGCAGCAGUAGGGAAUCUUCCGCAAUGGACGAAAGUCUGACGGAGCAACGCCGCGUGAGUGAUGAAGGUUUUCGGAUCGUAAAACUCUGUUGUCAGGGAAGAACAAGUGCCGGAGUAACUGCCGGCACCUUGACGGUACCUGACCAGAAAGCCACGGCUAACUACGUGCCAGCAGCCGCGGUAAUACGUAGGUGGCAAGCGUUGUCCGGAAUUAUUGGGCGUAAAGCGCGCGCAGGCGGUCUCUUAAGUCUGAUGUGAAAGCCCACGGCUCAACCGUGGAGGGUCAUUGGAAACUGGGGGACUUGAGUGCAGAAGAGGAAAGUGGAAUUCCACGUGUAGCGGUGAAAUGCGUAGAGAUGUGGAGGAACACCAGUGGCGAAGGCGACUUUCUGGUCUGUAACUGACGCUGAGGCGCGAAAGCGUGGGGAGCAACAGGAUUAGAUACCCUGGUAGUCCACGCCGUAACGAUGAGUGCUAAGUGUUAGAGGGUUUCCGCCCUUUAGU
Molecule: ribosomal RNA, 788 nt
Filed under: Bacillus infantis
Lineage: Bacteria; Bacillati; Bacillota; Bacilli; Caryophanales; Bacillaceae
Description: bacterial SSU rRNA
Rfam family: Bacterial small subunit ribosomal RNA
Source: RNAcentral